RNAcentral lists this unclassified non-coding RNA (153 nucleotides) under uncultured fungus. RNAcentral describes it as "sequence contains ITS1". Lineage: Eukaryota; Fungi. The record is from RNAcentral.
UUGUUUUGUUUACGAUAUAUUACAUUCUUUACGUUUUGUUUUGGUGUUGUCUGGAACGCCUGAGCGUUCCAAAACGGUUCACGGUGUGUGUGGAUGAAGACACGACCUUUCGGUCAAUCUAUAAUGAUCCUUCCGCAGGUUCACCUACGGAAA